Molecule: ribosomal RNA, 495 nt
Filed under: uncultured bacterium
Lineage: Bacteria
Description: partial 16S ribosomal RNA
Rfam family: Bacterial small subunit ribosomal RNA
Source: RNAcentral
UGAACGCUGGCGGCGUGCCUAAUACAUGCCCGUCGAGCGAACAGACGAGGAGCUUGCUCCUCUGACGUUAGCGGCGGACGGGUGAGUAACACGUGGAUAACCUACCUAUAAGACUGGGAUAACUUCGGGAAACCGGAGCUAAUACCGGAUAAUAUAUUGAACCGCAUGGUUCAAUAGUGAAAGACGGUUUUGCUGUCACUUAUAGAUGGAUCCGCGCCGCAUUAGCUAGUUGGUAAGGUAACGGCUUACCAAGGCAACGAUGCGUAGCCGACCUGAGAGGGUGAUCGGCCACACUGGAACUGAGACACGGUCCAGACUCCUACGGGAGGCAGCAGUAGGGAAUCUUCCGCAAUGGGCGAAAGCCUGACGGAGCAACGCCGCGUGAGUGAUGAAGGUCUUCGGAUCGUAAAACUCUGUUAUUAGGGAAGAACAAAUGUGUAAGUAACUAUGCACGUCUUGACGGUACCUAAUCAGAAAGCCACGGCUAACUACGUG